GAAGGAAAUGGCAACCCACUCCAGUAUUCUUGCCUGGGAAAUCCCAUGGACAGAGGAGCCUUGUGGGCUAUCUUCCAUGGGGUCACAAGAAUGAGACAUGACUUUGUGACUAAACCCCCACCACUAUAUAUAGUAUCAUGUAAUGCUGAAGCUGAAACUCCAGUACUUUGGCCACCUCAUGCAAAGAGUUGACUCAUUGGAAAAGACUCUGAUGCUGGGAGGGAUUGGGGGCAGGAGGACAAGAGGAUGACAGAGGAUGAGAUGGCUGGAUGGCAUCACUGGCUCGAUGGACAUGUGUUUGAGUAAACUCUGGGAGUUCGUGAUGGACAGGGAGGCCUGGCGUGCUGCAAUUCAUGGGGUCACAAGGAGUUGGACAUGACUGAGCGACUGAACUGAAUUGAAUCUAUGUUGAGCCAUCUUCGGAACAAAUCUCACUUCAUUACAAUGAAGAAGACCCAAGAGCUGUCCAGCUGCUGCCCCCUGCACAG
This is a long non-coding RNA of Dama dama (fallow deer), 488 nucleotides long. RefSeq lists it as uncharacterized. The transcript is spliced from 3 exons. The record is from RefSeq and is a predicted model, not a curated record. Lineage: Eukaryota; Metazoa; Chordata; Mammalia; Artiodactyla; Cervidae.